GUUUUGUUCACUGCACAGCAUCUCUUUGAAGUCCUCAUUCAAUUUAUGUCUUCAGAGAUGUUCCCUCAUUCAAAGGAAGGGGUAGAGGGGAUUUUUCAGGCCCCUGUGUUGUAAUUGCAUAGCAACCUACUAAACCAUACAGAAUAUACAUAAUGUACAUAUAUAACAAGGCUAGCUAGGCAUCCCUGGUGCUGGAGUUCCAGAAGCAGUGUGUUUUUCCAGCCAUGCAGCACACCUGACUGUACUUAGCAUCUAAAACACUGAGCUAAUUGAUCCAUUUCACUGAUUGAUACAUGCUCCCUCACUGCCACCCACCAGGGUGUCCUACUGAUGAUUUCUUCAAACCUGGUCUUGGGGAACCACGGUGUGUGUGUGCAGGCUUUUGUUCUACCACAGCACUAACACACCUGGUUCAAUUAAUCAAGCUUGAUCUGUUGAAAAUGUGUGUGUUAGAAUGUGAUGAGGCGGUGACUGUGACUCCUCCCAGGUCUCUCCUCUGACUCUCUCUAAGGACAGGUCUGUGUGGAUGAAUAGUACUGGGCUGUGGAGGCUGGCUCUCUCUAAGGACAGGUCUGUGUGGAUGAAUAGUACUGGGCUGUGGAGGCUGACUCUCUCUAAGGAUAGGUCUCUGUGUGGAUGAAUAGUACUGGGCUGUGGAGGCUGAC
Molecule: long non-coding RNA, 665 nt
Organism: Oncorhynchus tshawytscha (Chinook salmon)
Lineage: Eukaryota; Metazoa; Chordata; Actinopteri; Salmoniformes; Salmonidae
Source: Ensembl